AUACACCAGAACUCAGGACAGAAGAGCUGUGAUGACUGCCUGAGCCAAGCUUCAUUCCUCCAGUUAAGCAUGCUUCUUUUUCAAAAAAUGAAGAGGGUGGGAGGGGAGCUUCAACAAACCCUACCUUUAUUUGUGCAACACGUUGGGAACAGUUCCAACGAGAAUUUCUCAUGCUCCUUCACGUUCCCUGAAUUCUGUUGGUGAUCAUGUGAGGACACAGCCACAGUGUUUGUCUCUUCUGCUAUGUGAGGAUGCAGCAAAGAGUCCCUCAUCAGACACCAAAUGCCAGCGCCUUGAUUCUGGACUUCCCAACCUCCAGAACUGCAAGAAAAAAAAAAUUUCUAUUGAUUUUUAAAUUAUCCAGUCUGUGGUAUUUUGUCAUAGCAGCAUAAAUGGACUAAGACACAUAUCUACCUUCUAAGCAUUCCAGGGUGAUUAAUUUAAGAUAUGCCUAGCAUUUGGUAGAUGAUAAUUAACAAACUGAUUUUGAAAUUGGGAUGAGAGAUAGAGAAGAAGAAUAACUUGGCUGUGGUAUUUCCUAUGUUGUGAUUUGGAGAGAAUCAUGUAAUCCAUCAUGUUCUGAUCUAUAAAAUGUGUAGUUGGAUAAGAUGAUUGUUACGACCACAAUCAUGUCUUAAGUUUUAUGACUACUAAUGAUGGUGGUGGUGGUGGCCUAUCUAGAGCAGCUGCUGUGGAGAUGCUAGCUGCAGCAGGGGAGGUGUGGCCAGGGCUGCAUGCUCCGUGGAGCCAAAGGGAGUUAGGAGCAGGCAGGAGAACCAACCCCUACUCAACUAGCAGGUAGGAGUCCUGUGCUCCUGGGUACAACUGCAGCCACCCAGCCACAGUUCUGGACCUUGGCAUCCAUGAACUCUCUGGGGCCCAGAAAUCCCCCCUGUCCCACUAGGCUCAGAAGUGCUUACUUCCACACCUUGGCUUUUCUCUGCUCCCAGUGCCCACUCUAAUUUCGGAGCAAAGUUGUGACUGAGUCAGAACUGUUGUAACCUGGUCAGGUGUGUGUGCACUCAGGGCUGUGCUGACACACCAGCCCCCUGCUACCUUGGCCCCCUCUAGACUUUAGGCACUGACAAGCAUGGGAGGGAGGCCAGGGUUGCUGAGGGCAGGUUGGAAUGAUCCUGCAGGAGCCCCUCGUUGCAAACAGCUUGGGUGCCGUGGAUGGUAUGUCGUUGGUGGCAGGAGGCAGACAGGUUCCUAGGCAGGAAGGAGCAGGUCCCCAGUGAAGCCCACCUUGAAGCCAGGGAUGGCCUGAAGCCUUGGGACCAGGCUGCCACUUCUGGGUAGAGUCCAUGACCCAGAGUGAGAACUUAUGGUGCUUUUUCCAGGCCCACCCAUGGCUGCCCAUGGAGCACUCAGCAUGCUCUUCCUCCCUUCUGAGUGCAUAAAAACUCCAGACUCAGCCAGGCUCAGACACUUGUUGGAUGACCUGCCUGCAGAUAGGAGCUACCCACUUCAGGUCUUCUCUACACUCAUCAGGAUGACUUGCCUGAAGAAAGGAGCUGCCCAGCUUCGGGUCUCCUCUCCACUGAGAGCUGGACACUUGUUGGGACAACCUGCCUGCUGAAAGAAGCUACCCACUCCAGGUCUCCUGAGAGCUGUUUUGUCAUUCAAUGAAUCUCCUCUCCACCUUGCUUACCCUCCAGCUGGCCAUCUACCUCAUUGUUCCUGGUCAUGGAACAAGAACUCGGUCCUGCUAAAUAGCGGGACUGAAAGAGCUCUAAAACAAAUAAGGUUGAAACACGCCUCCCACUCGCCACGUUGCAGGUGACUAUAAGGAGAGAAGAGCUGUGGGUCUUUUGGGAGCCCAGACCUUGUGGCUCCAUAAGCCAGGGUUGUGAUACUGCAUCAUCAUCUUUGGGACUCUGUGGUUCCUGGCAUCUUUGAGCUUUUGGGUGACAUCAUGUUCCCCUUGUCCAACUGCUGCUGCCUACACUGGAAGCUGCUUGUGGCAUAUCUGGUCCAGCUGCAGCCUCAAACCCUGUGCUCACUUGCUCACAUACCCCUUGCGACUCUGCACCUGACUCACCUUUAGCAGGGAUGGAAUCUGGGCCAGUAACAUGACCCACACUUCCAGAAUACCAAAAGUGUUCUGGAAGUACUUUACCCUAGAUGCUAGGUUUUUGACUUUCACCUCAAUGUAAGGAUCCCCCAAAAUUUACUCUUCUAAAAAACAAAUGAUGAAUGGCAAAAAUGGUAAAAAAUCAACUUCUUUGGUACUUUGGAAAUUGAAUGAAGGUUUGCAACAAUCCAAGGAGCAUUUAUUCAACAAAAACAGCUGAAUCUUUGUAAAA
This is a long non-coding RNA of Macaca mulatta (Rhesus monkey), 2306 nucleotides long. The record is from Ensembl. NCBI's taxonomy places the organism in Eukaryota, Metazoa, Chordata, Mammalia, Primates, Cercopithecidae.